This 432-nucleotide ribosomal RNA is filed under the name uncultured bacterium. Its description in RNAcentral is "bacterial SSU rRNA". It matches the Rfam family "Bacterial small subunit ribosomal RNA", at positions 29 to 506 of the family's 1533-position model. The record is from RNAcentral.
AUGAAUGCUGGCGGUAUGGAUAAGUCAUGCAAGUCGAACGGGUAGCAAUACCAGUGGCAGACGAGGUAGUAACACGUAGGAACAUACACCGAAGUCAGGGAUAGCCAGCCGAAAGGUUGGGUAAUACUUGAUGGUCUCGCGAGAGUAAAGAUUUAUCGCUUCGGGAGUGGCCUGCGCAAUAUCAGCUAGUUGGUAAGGUAACGGCUUACCAAGGCUACGACGUUUAGGGGAGCUGAGAGGCUGACCCCCACCGAUGGGACUGAGAUACGGCCCAUACUCCUACGGGAGGCCGCAGACGAGAAUAUUCCGCAAUGGACGCAAGUCUGACGGAGCGAUACCGCGUGAAGGACGAAGUGCUUCGGCACGUAAACUUCUUUUGUCAGGGACGAAAUUAUUGACGGUACCUGAAGAAUAAGGGGCUCCUAACUCUGU